RNAcentral lists this ribosomal RNA (460 nucleotides) under uncultured bacterium. Its description in RNAcentral is "partial 16S ribosomal RNA". It matches the Rfam family "Bacterial small subunit ribosomal RNA", at positions 338 to 795 of the family's 1533-position model. The record is from RNAcentral.
CCUACGGGGGGCAGCAGUGAGGAAUAUUGGUCAAUGGGCGCGAGCCUGAACCAGCCAAGUCGCGUGAGGGAGGACGGCCCUACGGGUUGUAAACCUCUUUUGUCGGGGAGCAACGGGCGCCACGUGUGGCGUCUCUGAGAGUACCCGGAGAAAAAGCAUCGGUUAAGCCCGUGACAGCAGCCGCGGAAAUACGGAGGAUGCGAGCGUUACCCGGAUUUAUUGGGUUAAAGGGGUGCGUAGGCGGAUCGUAAAGUCAGUGGUCAAGUUGAGGGGCUCAACCUCUUCCCGCCAUUGAAACUGGCGUUCUUGAGUGGAAGAGAAGUAUGCGGAAUGCGUGGUGUAGCGGUGAAAUGCAUAGAUAUCACGCAGAACCCCGAUUGCGAAGGCAGCAUGCCGGCUUCCGACUGACGCUGAAGCACGAAAGCGUGGGGAUCGAACAGGAUUAGAUACCCCUGUAGUC